AUCCGUACGAGCGCACCCCUAUCCUUAGUUACCAGCGAGUAAUGUCGGGGACUCUAAGGAGACUGCCGGUGAUAAACCGGAGGAAGGCGGGGAUGAGGUCAAGUCAUCAUGGCCCUUAUGGGUAGGGCUACACACGUGCUACAAUGGCUGGUACAGAGGGACGCGAAGCGGUGACGUGGAGCAAAUCCUUUAAAGCUGGUCGCAGUCCGGAUUGAAGUCUGCAACUCGACUUCAUGAAGUUGGGAUCGCUAGUAAUCGCAAAUCAGCAUGUUGCGGUGAAUACGUUCUCGGGCCUUGUACACACCGCCCGUCACACCAUGGGAGUGGAUUGCACCAGAAGUGGGUAGGCUAACCUUCGGGAGGCCGCUCACCACGGUGUGGUUCAUGACUGGGGUGAAGUCGUAACAAGGUAGCCGUAGGGGAACCUGCGGCUGGAUCACCUCCUU
Molecule: ribosomal RNA, 446 nt
Filed under: uncultured Gammaproteobacteria bacterium
Lineage: Bacteria; Pseudomonadati; Pseudomonadota; Gammaproteobacteria
Description: bacterial SSU rRNA
Rfam family: Bacterial small subunit ribosomal RNA
Source: RNAcentral